Molecule: ribosomal RNA, 1476 nt
Filed under: metagenome
Description: bacterial SSU rRNA
Rfam family: Bacterial small subunit ribosomal RNA
Source: RNAcentral
AGAGUUUGAUCCUGGCUCAGGACGAACGCUGGCGGCGUGCUUAACACAUGCAAGUCGAACGGUUCAGAAGAGCUUGCUCUUUUGAUCAGUGGCGAACGGGUGAGUAACACGUGAGCAACCUACCCUUGACUCUGGGAUAACAGUUGGAAACAGCUGCUAAUACCGGAUACGACCUCGGCCGACAUCUGCUGAGGUGGAAAGUUCUGGCGGUCAAGGAUGGGCUCGCGGCCUAUCAGCUAGUUGGUGAGGUAACGGCUCACCAAGGCUUCGACGGGUAGCCGGCCUGAGAGGGCGACCGGCCACACUGGGACUGAGAUACGGCCCAGACUCCUACGGGAGGCAGCAGUGGGAAUAUUGCACAAUGGGCGAAAGCCUGAUGCAGCAACGCCGCGUGCGGGAUGACGGCCUUCGGGUUGUAAACCGCUUUCAGCUCCGACGAAGCGCAAGUGACGGUAGGAGCAGAAGAAGGACCGGCCAACUACGUGCCAGCAGCCGCGGUGAUACGUAGGGUCCGAGCGUUGUCCGGAAUUAUUGGGCGUAAAGGGCUUGUAGGCGGUUUGUCACGUCGGAAGUGAAAACUCAGGGCUCAACCCUGAGCCUGCUUCCGAUACGGGCAAACUAGAGGAAUGCAGGGGAGAAUGGAAUUCCUGGUGGAGCGGUGGAAUGCGCAGAUAUUAGGAGGAACACCAGUGGCGAAGGCGGUUCUCUGGGCAUUUCCUGACGCUGAGAAGCGAAAGCGUGGGGAGCAAACAGGCUUAGAUACCCUGGUAGCCCACGCCGUAAACGGUGGGCACUAGGUGUGGGACUCAUUCCACGAGUUCCGUGCCGUAGCUAACGCAUUAAGUGCCCCGCCUGGGGAGUACGGCCGCAAGGCUAAAACUCAAAGGAAUUGACGGGGGCCCGCACAAGCGGCGGAGCAUGCGGAUUAAUUCGAUGCAACGCGAAGAACCUUACCUGGGUUUGACAUAUGCCGGAAAGCUGCAGAGAUGUAGCCCCCGCAAGGUCGGUAUACAGGUGGUGCAUGGCUGUCGUCAGCUCGUGUCGUGAGAUGUUGGGUUAAGUCCCGCAACGAGCGCAACCCUCGUCCUAUGUUGCCAGCGGGUAAUGCCGGGGACUCAUAGGAGACUGCCGGGGUCAACUCGGAGGAAGGUGGGGAUGACGUCAAGUCAUCAUGCCCCUUAAGUCCAGGGCUUCACGCAUGCUACAAUGGCUGGUACAAAGGGCUGCAAUACCGCAAGGUUGAGCGAAUCCCAAAAAGCCAGUCUCAGUUCGGAUUGGGGUCUGCAACUCGACCCCAUGAAGUCGGAGUCGCUAGUAAUCGCAGAUCAGCAACGCUGCGGUGAAUACGUUCCCGGGCCUUGUACACACCGCCCGUCAAGUCAUGAAAGUCGGUAACACCCGAAGCCGGUGGCCCAACCUUUUGGAGGGAGCCGUCGAAGGUGGGACUGGCGAUUAGGACUAAGUCGUAACAAGGUA